CUUCCAAUUCAAGAAAAACUUGAAGAGAAAAUAUAGUAGUAUUCGGCCAAGGUUGGCUAAAAUGGAGUCCAUGGAAUUGAUCAAGAAAAAAUAUUUUCUCCUAGUACUCUAAGUAAUUGGAAGGUCCUCUACAACAUGGAAGAGUUGUUGGAGCAAGAAAAUCCUUCACUUGGACAAAUCCAUAACCUUGACUAAGAGGAAACAUGAAAGGAAAAGAUUUUGGUGAAUUUGGAGCUUGAGUUUGGAGAAGAAAAAGGAGCGGAAAAGGUACACCAGCUGAGCCACAGUUAUCAUAGAAGAUGUUCCAGCGGAGUUGGCGGGCUCCACUUGUUCUGGAGUGCUGCCGAGUCAGAGUAUAUGAGCUAUGGUGUUUGUUCAAUGUUAGAGACUUUGCAGACAGAGUCAUGAGUAUAGAGUGUCAGCUUGGUAGACGGCUUCACCCGUCACAAUGUUAUUACGUUUCAUGUCGCGGGUCCCAUAUGAUGAUAGACAUUAUUUAUGAAAAAAAAAUAUAUUGGAGGGCUUACCAUGUAUUUAUUUCUUAAUUGAUACAAGAGUUUAUCUAUGUAAUAAGAGUCAGCGGGUUCGCUCGGCUCCAGAUAUGGGGUCGGGUGCCCAUCACACCCUAGUAAAGUCGGGGUGUGACAAUUUUCUAAGGCUACUGAGACUAUACUACACUA
Molecule: long non-coding RNA, 680 nt
Organism: Lycium barbarum (goji berry)
Lineage: Eukaryota; Viridiplantae; Streptophyta; Magnoliopsida; Solanales; Solanaceae
Exons: 3
Source: RefSeq, a predicted model, not a curated record